GAUGAACGCUAGCGGGAGGCCUAAUACAUGCAAGUCGAGCGGUAGAGUGACUUCGGUUGCUUGAGAGCGGCGAACGGGUGAGUAACGCGUACACAAUCUACCUUUAAGAGGGGAAUAGCCCUGGGAAACUGGGAUUAAUGCCCCAUGGCAUCACGAGACGGCAUCGUUUUGUGAUUAAAGCUGAGGUGCUUAGAGAUGAGUGUGCGUCUGAUUAGCUAGUUGGUGCGGUAACGGCGCACCAAGGCGACGAUCAGUAGGGGGCGUGAGAGCGUGGACCCCCACACGGGUACUGAGACACGGACCCGACUCCUACGGGAGGCAGCAGUAAGGAAUAUUGGUCAAUGGAGGAAACUCUGAACCAGCCAUCCCGCGUGCAGGAAGAAUGCCCUAUGGGUUGUAAACUGCUUUUAUCUGGGAAGAAAAGUCGGGAUUUAUCCUGAUCUGACGGUACCAGAGGAAUAAGCACCGGCUAACUCCGUGCCAGCACCGCGGUAAAGU
This 498-nucleotide ribosomal RNA is filed under the name uncultured bacterium. RNAcentral describes it as "bacterial SSU rRNA". It matches the Rfam family "Bacterial small subunit ribosomal RNA", at positions 28 to 526 of the family's 1533-position model. The record is from RNAcentral.